UACGGGGGGUGCAAGCGUUAUUCGGAAUUAUUGGGCGUAAAGAGCGCGUAGGCGGUCUUUUAAGUCAGAUGUGAAAGCCCGGGGCUCAACCCCGGAAGUGCAUUUGAAACUAGAAGACUUGAGUAUGGGAGAGGGAAGUGGAAUUCCUGGUGUAGAGGUGAAAUUCGUAGAUAUCAGGAGGAACACCGGUGGCGAAGGCGACUUCCUGGACCAAUACUGACGCUGAGGCGCGAAGGCGUGGGGAGCAAACAGG
This 253-nucleotide ribosomal RNA is filed under the name uncultured bacterium. RNAcentral's name for it is "partial 16S ribosomal RNA". It matches the Rfam family "Bacterial small subunit ribosomal RNA", at positions 524 to 776 of the family's 1533-position model. The record is from RNAcentral.